This 355-nucleotide ribosomal RNA is filed under the name uncultured bacterium. RNAcentral's name for it is "partial 16S ribosomal RNA". It matches the Rfam family "Bacterial small subunit ribosomal RNA", at positions 338 to 690 of the family's 1533-position model. The record is from RNAcentral.
CCUACGGGAGGCAGCAGUGAGGACUAUUGGUCAAUGGGCGCAAGCCUGAACCAGCCAAGUCGCGUGAGGGAUGAAGGUUCUAUGGAUCGUAAACCUCUUUUAUAAGGGAAUAAAGUGUGGGACGUGUCCUAUUUUGUAUGUACCUUAUGAAUAAGGAUCGGCUAACUCCGUGCCAGCAGCCGCGGUAAUACGGAGGAUCCGAGCGUUAUCCGGUUUUAUUGGGUUUAAAGGGUGCGUAGGCGGCCUUUUAAGUCAGCGGUGAAAGUUGGGGGCUCAACCUUAGAUUUGCCGUGAAAACUGGAGGGUUUGGGUAUGUUGAGGGCGGGCGAAAUGGGUGGGGAAGCGGGAAAAUGCU